This 1459-nucleotide long non-coding RNA is filed under the name Fukomys damarensis (Damara mole-rat). RNAcentral describes it as "lncRNA (ENSFDAG00000030672.1)". Lineage: Eukaryota; Metazoa; Chordata; Mammalia; Rodentia; Bathyergidae. The record is from RNAcentral.
UGGGUUUCCAAAGCCUUUUAUAUCCAUUAUCUCAUUAGAAUCUCUGCGCAACCUGUGCCAGAAGUCGUGUAUUAUCCCCUCUAUAGAAAAGAGAGAAAUGAAGCUGAGAGAGGAAAAGGGACCACUUGAGGGAACCCUGGGGGAGGCCCCAAGGCCUCUUAUGAACAGCCCAAGGCCCCAACUGAGCCUAGAGAGCCCUUGGGAGGGGGCCCAAAGGUGAAGGGCUGCCCUACUGAAUUUGUUUUUUUGUUUUUGUUUUUUUUUUUUGGUACCAGGGAUUGAGCUCGGGUCCUUGUGCUUGCAAGGCAGGUGGUGGAACCACUGAGCUAAACCCCCGGCCCCCUACUGAAUUUGGAAAGCCCCGCCAGUCCUGGAAGCUACUUGUUUCCACGUGUCGCUGUGGGAGGAGGCAGCUAUGUCAACCCUGGCCCAAGAUGCACUGGGAAUUCGGGGAGGCACUGGCUGGGAGCAGGGCCGAGAGGCUGAGCAGACUCCACGCAGCGUGCAAACCUUCCAGGACAUUAGACGGACACUGGGGUUCCCCUACUGCCACCUGCUGCAUGUGGAGAGCUGUUGUUAUGGGCUCAGAAGUGUCCCUUGUCCCCUUGGUCACCCAUCCCAGUCUACCUGAGACACCCUGCCUGAACUAAGGCUUCUUCUCCAGGGAGUCCCAGAGACGAGUGCUACGGACUCUGGGGAAGGUUAGGUGUCACUCUCCCCUGAGCUCCUGGGUGGGUAGGUGCCAGGGACCUCAUUUCUGGGUGUGUGUGUGGGGGACUGGUGUGGAGACGCAGUGCUGGGCCACUGCAGGAAGAUCACACCAUUGCUGUCAUCCUGGAAGACGGUCAUGCAGUGGGGAGCAGGGCAGGGCUUCUUUUCCCUCAUGCAAUGGGGAGUUACAUCCAGUUGUGGGGUGGGACAAAGCUCUGGGCGUGGCACUCCAUGCGGGACCUCAGUUGGGUCCUACCUUUGCCUGCCUGGCCUGUGAAAUUCGGGUGCCAGUGUCUUCCUUGCCUGUCUCACAGGCCACACUUCACACAGGGCAGCACAGAUAGGUGGUGAGAAAGGGAAUCAGCUCAGCCCUUAGCUACUAUCCCAGUUCCAGCACUUUCAAGCUGUGUGAUCAUAGUCAAGUUACUCAACUUCUCUGUUUCUCAAAUAUUUCAUCUGUAACAUGGAGAUAAGGACUAGCAGUUGUGAGAAUUAAAUGGCUCUAGAAUUAAAUGGUUGGAACAUUUCCUAAUGCAUAAUAAAUGCUCAGCAAACAUUAGCUUUCGGUUGCAUUAUUGAUACCCUUUGUCUGGAAAUGGGGCCACCAUGUACAGUCCUUAUUCCUCUCAGUGGGACUCUGCAGAACUCACUAACCAUGGUCUGUGAAUUGUGCUGGAGAAAGCUUCUGGGGUUUUAUACAUCCAGAGACCUCUCCCACUCAACUGUUCAGUGACCCAGUCUCCUUUGC